AAUAUACUCCCUCCGUUCGGAAUUACUUGUCGCAGAAAUGGAUGUAUCUAGAUGUAUUUUAGUUCUAGAUACAUCCAUUUCCAAGACAAGUAAUUCCGAACGGAGGGAGUAUGUC
Triticum aestivum (bread wheat) is the source of this 115-nucleotide non-coding RNA. Lineage: Eukaryota; Viridiplantae; Streptophyta; Magnoliopsida; Poales; Poaceae. The record is from Rfam.